GUGACGAAGCGACGCCGCGUGUGGGAAGAAGGCCUUCGGGUUGUAAACCACUGUCGGGAGUUAGGAAAUGUAAGGGUGUUAAUAGUAUCCUUACUUGACUAAGGCUCCGGAGGAAGCCACGGCUAACUCUGUGCCAGCAGCCGCGGUAAUACAGAGGCGGCAAGCGUUGUUCGGAAUUAUUGGGCGUAAAGAGCACGUAGGCGGCCUUGCAAGUCAGUUGUGAAAGCCUUCUGCUUAACGGAAGAACAGCAGCUGAUACUGCAAGACUAGAGUGCGGAAGGGGAGAGUGGAACUUCUGGUGGAGCGGUGAAAUGCGUAGAUAUCAGAAGGAACACCGGCGGCGAAGGCGACUCUCUGGUCCGUAACUGACGCUGAGUGUGCGAAAGCUAGGGGAGCAAACGGGAUUAGAUACCCCGGUAGUCCUAGCCGUAAACGAUGGGCACUAAGUAGAGGGGUUUU
RNAcentral lists this ribosomal RNA (459 nucleotides) under uncultured bacterium. Its description in RNAcentral is "bacterial SSU rRNA". It matches the Rfam family "Bacterial small subunit ribosomal RNA", at positions 383 to 832 of the family's 1533-position model. The record is from RNAcentral.